RNAcentral lists this unclassified non-coding RNA (275 nucleotides) under Hevea brasiliensis (rubber tree). The record is from RNAcentral. Lineage: Eukaryota; Viridiplantae; Streptophyta; Magnoliopsida; Malpighiales; Euphorbiaceae.
AUAACCAACUGGUUUUACAAAAUUUGAUCAUUUAUGCCAAAAUUCAAAUAGAUGCCAUUGUAAUUAGAAGUUCUUAAAAAACUUCUGAACCAAGGUUGUUAAACUUGCUUUUUUAAACUAGAAUCAAGAGAGGUCUAUAAACUUGAAUUGUAAAAUUGCAAGAUUUUAAGAACCAAAUAAAAUAAUUGUAAAAAAUAUUCAUAUCCUUAUAAAAAAUUAUAAAUAAACUUUCUAAUACAUUAUUAAUUCUAAUAUUCAAACUAUUUUAAUUUUAU